UUGACCUCGGAGGGGUAGGAAUAACCCCUGAACUUAAGCAUAUCAAUAACCGGAG
This 55-nucleotide ribosomal RNA is filed under the name Fusarium sp. H2 CCM-2015. RNAcentral describes it as "partial 28S ribosomal RNA". Lineage: Eukaryota; Fungi; Ascomycota; Sordariomycetes; Hypocreales; Nectriaceae. The record is from RNAcentral.